UGGUUCUGGCAUCGAUGAAGAACGCAGCGAAAUGCGAUAAGUAAUGUGAAUUGCAGAAUUCAGUGAAUCAUCGAAUCUUUGAACGCACAUUGCGCCCCUUGGUAUUCCGAGGGGCAUGCCCGUUCGAGCGUCAUUUCACCACUCAAGCUCUGCUUGGUAUUGGGCGUCGCGUCCGCCGCGCGCCUCGAAGUCCCCGGCCCCGCGGCCCGGCCCUGAGCGUUGUGGCACUUUUCAGUUCCGCUCCAGGCGCCCGGGCGGCGGCCGGCCGUUAAGCACCUCAAAUGGUUGACCUCGGAUCGGGUAGGGAUACCCGCUGA
This 317-nucleotide unclassified non-coding RNA is filed under the name uncultured fungus. Its description in RNAcentral is "partial contains 5.8S ribosomal RNA and internal transcribed spacer 2". The stretch from base 1 to 133 matches the Rfam family "5.8S ribosomal RNA", at positions 22 to 154 of the family's 154-position model. The record is from RNAcentral. Lineage: Eukaryota; Fungi.